ACACUGCUGAGGAGUCCCACAACAGGACGAAACGACCGUUCAGUGU
Molecule: non-coding RNA, 46 nt
Organism: Schistosoma rodhaini
Lineage: Eukaryota; Metazoa; Platyhelminthes; Trematoda; Strigeidida; Schistosomatidae
Source: Rfam